GACGAACGCUGGCGGCGUGCUUAACACAUGCAAGUCGAGCGGAAAGGCCCUUCGGGGUACUCGAGCGGCGAACGGGUGAGUAACACGUGAGUAACCUGCCCCAGACUUUGGGAUAACCCUCGGAAACGGGGGCUAAUACCGGAUACGACACAGCUUCGCAUGGGGUCUGUGUGGAAAGUUUUUCGGUUUGGGAUGGGCUCGCGGCCUAUCAGCUUGUUGGUGGGGUGAUGGCCUACCAAGGCGACGACGGGUAGCCGGCCUGAGAGGGCGACCGGCCACACUGGGACUGAGACACGGCCCAGACUCCUACGGGAGGCAGCAGUGGGGAAUAUUGCACAAUGGGCGGAAGCCUGAUGCAGCGACGCCGCGUGAGGGAUGACGGCCUUCGGGUUGUAAACCUCUUUCAGCAGGGACGAAGCGUAAGUGACGGUACCUGCAGAAGAGGCGCCGGCCAACUACGUG
RNAcentral lists this ribosomal RNA (462 nucleotides) under uncultured bacterium. RNAcentral describes it as "partial 16S ribosomal RNA". It matches the Rfam family "Bacterial small subunit ribosomal RNA", at positions 28 to 507 of the family's 1533-position model. The record is from RNAcentral.